GGAGGCUGCUGCUCGCCCGCUCGCCCGCUCGCCCGCCCGCCGCUCCGCGCUUCUCCCUCCGCCUCCCCGGCCCCGCGCACCUACGAGCUCCGGGCCGCGGGCCGAGCUGCCCCGGGCGCUGUCCGGGCCUGCAGAGGGGAUGCCGGCGGGGACCUCGGGCUCGCGCCGGCGUUGCGCAGCAAAGAAAGGCGAGGCGCGGCGUCGGGGCUGCGCGCCCUGGAGCUCCGGGACGCGGCACUUGGGAACCCCCGCGGCGAGCUCCCGCCAUCUCCGCGCGGCCGGAGCGCGCAGCCCGGGGCUGGCCUCGGGUGGAAAGUGCGGGGAAUGGGGCGAGGGGCUCCGGACCCCCCACCGUGGAUUACUUGGUGUGCAUCAGCCGGGCUCAGACGACCCCCACCCCCGCGACCUCGUCUGCGUCCUGGGCUUGCUUCCUUCCACCUGGCAGUCGGGGCGCAUACCUGGCAGUAGGCUGACCCCUGGGACGUUGGUGACAUGGCGCUCAUUAAUCACACGUGACACGGAGGGCCUGCGGAAAGUGUGGGAGAGUCGAGAUGCUGCCCGAGCGCCCGGUCCCUCACAUGGCAGCCUGACACGGGGCCAGUGGAAUCCUGUGAAGUUUCUUGAACACCUACUAGGUGACUGUGCGAGGCAGGCUGCGGGGAUGUCGGCGGGCGCAUUGGUGGUUCUGUUUCUUGGCUGUUGUGAAACCUCUUGGUUUGGUCCCACGUCUGUGAAUCAUUUGCCCUCAGCCUGUGUGUGUGUCUUGUGAUAGGAGCAGAGGGCGUGGAUGCUCCUUGCACGGCACCUGAUUCUUGGCUGGCGCUCCGUGGGCCUUUCAGGAGACCUGAGCAGAAAUAGGUCAGGGUUCUAGCUGCAGGCUCCUCAGAAGGCCUUCUUGGGAGCUUUUGAUUUUUCAUUCACAUUUCAAUCAAGCAAAGAGGUGCUUGAUUUCCUUCUUAUUUUCUCCCUAAUUGUAUGUGUAUGUGUGUUCAUUUUUUUCUCUGGGAAGGAUGAACCUGUAGACCUUUUGUUUUCUUUUUUUUUAUUUUAUUAUUUAAUUAGUUAUUAUUUAUUUAUUUAUUCUGUAGACCUUUUCUAAACUCAGGUUUAUAUCAAUAAACUCAGAUUUAUUGAGAUCUAAUUGACGUCA
RNAcentral lists this long non-coding RNA (1150 nucleotides) under Canis lupus dingo (dingo). RNAcentral describes it as "lncRNA (ENSCAFG00020021504.1)". The record is from RNAcentral. Lineage: Eukaryota; Metazoa; Chordata; Mammalia; Carnivora; Canidae.